Molecule: ribosomal RNA, 759 nt
Filed under: uncultured bacterium
Lineage: Bacteria
Description: bacterial SSU rRNA
Rfam family: Bacterial small subunit ribosomal RNA
Source: RNAcentral
CUUAGAGUUUGAUCCUGGCUCAGGAUGAACGCUGGCGGUAUGCUUAACACAUGCAAGUCGAACGGUGUCUUCGGACAUAGUGGCGGACGGGUGAGUAACGCGUGAGAAUCUAGCUUCAGGUCUGGGACAACCACUGGAAACGGUGGCUAAUACCGGAUGUGCCGGAAGGUGAAAGGCUUGCUGCCUGAAAAUGACCUCGCGUCCGAUUACCUAGUAGGUGGGGUAAGAGCCUACCUAGGCGACGAUCGGUAGCUGGUCUGAGAGGAUGACCACCCACGGUGGGAAUGAGAAGCGGCCCAAACUCCUACGGGAGGCAGCAGUGGGGAAUUUUCCGCAAUGGGCGAAAGCCUGACGGAGCAAUACCGCGUGAGGGAGGAAGGCUCUUGGGUUGUAAACCUCUUUUCUCAGGGAAGAACACAAUGACGGUACCUGAGGAAUCAGCAUCGGCUAACUCCGUGCCAGCAGCCGCGGUAAUACGGAGGAUGCAAGCGUUAUCCGGAAUGAUUGGGCGUAAAGCGUCCGCAGGUGGCUGUGUAAGUCUGCUGUCAAAGAGCAAAGCUCAACUUUGUAAAGGCAGUGGAAACUACACGGCUAGAGUGCGUUCGGGGCAGAGGGAAUUCCUGGUGUAGCGGUGAAAUGCGUAGAGAUCAGGAAGAACACCGGUGGCGAAGGCGCUCUGCUAGGCCGCAACUGACACUGAGGGACGAAAGCUAGGGGAGCGAAAAAGAUUAGAUACCCCAGUAGUCCUAGCUGUAAACG